RNAcentral lists this ribosomal RNA (460 nucleotides) under uncultured bacterium. RNAcentral's name for it is "partial 16S ribosomal RNA". It matches the Rfam family "Bacterial small subunit ribosomal RNA", at positions 338 to 795 of the family's 1533-position model. The record is from RNAcentral.
CCUACGGGGGGCAGCAGUGAGGAAUAUUGGUCAAUGGACGAGAGUCUGAACCAGCCAAGUAGCGUGAAGGAUGACUGCCCUAUGGGUUGUAAACUUCUUUUAUAUGGGAAUAAAAUGUUCCACGUGUGGGAUUUUGUAUGUACCAUAUGAAUAAGGAUCGGCUAACUCCGUGCCAGCAGCCGCGGUAAUACGGAGGAUCCGAGCGUUAUCCGGAUUUAUUGGGUUUAAAGGGAGCGUAGGUGGAUUGUUAAGUCAGUUGUGAAAGUUUGCGGCUCAACCGUAAAAUUGCAGUUGAAACUGGCAGUCUUGAGUACAGUAGAGGUGGGCGGAAUGCGUGGUGUAGCGGUGAAAUGCUUAGAGAUCACGAAGAACUCCGAUUGCGAAGGCAGUUCACUGGACUGCAACUGACACUGAGGCUCGAAAGUGUGGGUAUCAAACAGGAUUAGAUACCCCAGUAGUC